This 444-nucleotide ribosomal RNA is filed under the name uncultured bacterium. Its description in RNAcentral is "bacterial SSU rRNA". It matches the Rfam family "Bacterial small subunit ribosomal RNA", at positions 331 to 792 of the family's 1533-position model. The record is from RNAcentral.
CCAGACUCCUACGGGAGGCAGCAGUGGGGAAUAUUGCACAAUGGGGGAAACCCUGAUGCAGCGACGCCGCGUGAGCGAUGAAGUAUUUCGGUAUGUAAAGCUCUAUCAGCAGGGAAGAAGGUGACGGUACCUGACUAAGAAGCCCCGGCUAACUACGUGCCAGCAGCCGCGGUAAUACGUAGGGGGCAAGCGUUAUCCGGAUUUACUGGGUGUAAAGGGCGUGUAGGCGGGAAAGCAAGUCAGAUGUGAAAACCACGGGCUCAACCUGUGGCCUGCAUUUGAAACUGUUUUUCUUGAGUACUGGAGAGGCAGACGGAAUUCCUAGGGUAGCGGUGAAAUGCGUAGAUAUUAGGAGGAACACCAGUGGCGAAGGCGGUCCGCUGGACAGCAACUGACGCUGAGGCGCGAAAGCGUGGGGAGCAGACAGGAUUAGAUACCCUCGUA